CCUAAAUGGCGGGAGGCAAGCCACCUGGCUUCUUUUGCGUUUUCUACCACGUUAUGUUUUGUGUCUUCGUUUUGACCCUUUUCGGAGAAGGCAAUGGCACCCCACUCCAGUACUCUUGCCUGGAAAAUCCCAUGGACGGAGGAGCCUGUUAGACUGCAGUCCAUGGGGUCGCUAGGAGUCGGACACGACUGUAUAACUUUCAAGUAGACAACCUGAGCGACAUCACUUUCACUUUUCACUUUCAUGCAUUGGAGAAGGAAAUGGCAAGCCACUCCAGUGUUCUUGCCUGGAGAAUCCCAGGGACGGGGGAGCCUGGUGGGCUGCCGUCUCUGGGGUCACACAGAGUCGGACACGACUGAAGCGACUUAGCAACUUAGCAGUUUGACCCUUUUACGUGGCCUCAGUUUACUUGGCUUAAAUUCUCUGAGUCUUGAUUUCCUCAUCUUUAAAAUGAGGGGCCUGGCUACAGUCUCGGACAUUCCAUCCUUCACGUGUCCACAUCUUCCUGACGGCAGACAUGGCAGGACCAGUCAUUUUCCCUGGGGCUGAAUCUAUUAGAUCUACACAGGAGAGCAUUGAGAGAGCUAAUUGGAAAGAUUGCUAAGCUUGCUGCAAGAAGCCAGAGAGGGGCAUUUUAUUUCUCACUUGGAUGCUUGCUGAGCCGCAGAACACCAGAGUACCCUGACUGCCUCUGGACUUGAGUGCAUGAAGCAAGCAUCCGUGUCUGGGAGACCCAGUGAAAAUGAACUUUAGGGCAACUACUGGCUGUCAGCAGGCAAGAAACGGAGGCCCCCAGUCCAGCAGGACAGAGAUCGCUGACUCCUGCUAGCAAGCAUAUGAAGCUGGGAGCAGAUCCCUCUCCAGUUGAGCUUUCAGAUGAGAUGCUGGAAACCUCGAUUGAAGCUUCAUGAGAGACCCCGAAGCAGAGGACCUGGUGAGCUAUACCCAGGUUGUGCGAGAUGGUACAUGUGUGUUGUUGUUAGCCACUAAAUGUGUGCUAAUUUGUUAUACACAAUAGGUAACGAAUAUGCAGUUUUGUGGUUUUGCUUACAUCACUCCCCUCUUCACAGGACUGCAGUAUAAGUCCCUGGAGAUUGUUCUCAGAAAUAAAUAUAACUGACAAUCACCACUCUGUGCUCAGAAUUGUCCUUCUCCUUCCACCAAAGGUCUGUUACCUGAUCAGCUUUGUUGUGCUUGAUUUCUCUGGGAAAAGUUCUCUCUCAGGUGACCUUAGCUCCUCACACAAAGGGAGCUUUGUGGGGCCUGCCUAUGUGGUUCCCCAGAUAAGCCUGAAUACUCUUAAAUCCAGCAAUGGUGCAGCUUGGCCUAAAGCUAAGAGCUCACAAUAUGUCAGAUAAUUUGUCAAUUUCCAGAUGCAUUAUACCAAGGGUCCCCAACUCCCCCAGGGCCACAGAUCAGUACUUCAGAGCAGUGAGCAGUGGGUGAGCAAGAGAAGUUUCA
Bos taurus (domestic cattle) is the source of this 1461-nucleotide long non-coding RNA. NCBI's taxonomy places the organism in Eukaryota, Metazoa, Chordata, Mammalia, Artiodactyla, Bovidae. The record is from Ensembl.